UCGAGGAUCUUCCGCAAUGGGCGAAAGCCUGACGGAGCGACACCGCGUACAGGAUGAAGGCCUUCGGGUUGUAAACUGUUGUCACGCUAUAGGAACCCCUUGGUGUUAAUAGCGCCAAGGCUGACUAAAGCGAGAGGAAGCAACGGCUAACUCUGUGCCAGCAGCCGCGGUAAGACAGAGGUUGCAAACGUUGUUCGGAAUCACUGGGCAUAAAGCGCACGUAGGCGGUCUGUUAAGUCAGGUGUGAAAGCCCCCGGCUCAACCGGGGAACAGCAUUUGAUACUGGCAGACUCGAGGAUGGUAGGGGUGAGUGGAACUCCAGGUGGAGCGGUGAAAUGCGUAGAUAUCUGGAGGAACACCGGUGGCGAAAGCGGCUCACUGGACCAUAACUGACGCUGAGGUGCGAAAGCUAGGGUAGCAAACGGGGAUUAGAUACCCUAGUAGUCCCUGAGCGGGCUGGCAAGGCGCAU
Molecule: ribosomal RNA, 470 nt
Filed under: uncultured bacterium
Lineage: Bacteria
Description: bacterial SSU rRNA
Rfam family: Bacterial small subunit ribosomal RNA
Source: RNAcentral